This 511-nucleotide ribosomal RNA is filed under the name uncultured Acaulospora. Its description in RNAcentral is "SSU rRNA". It matches the Rfam family "Eukaryotic small subunit ribosomal RNA", at positions 569 to 1080 of the family's 1831-position model. The record is from RNAcentral. Lineage: Eukaryota; Fungi; Glomeromycota; Glomeromycetes; Diversisporales; Acaulosporaceae.
AGCAGCCGCGGUAAUUCCAGCUCCAAUAGCGUAUAUUAAAGUUGUUGCAGUUAAAAAGCUCGUAGUUGAAUUUCGGGAUUUGUCAGUUGGUCGGGCUUCACUGUCCGUAUUGACUUGAUGGAUUCUUACCUUCUGAAUAACCAGCAUGCUAUUAAGUUAGUGCGUUGGGGAAGCAGAUCUAUUACCUUGAAAAAUUAGAGUGCUUAAAGCGAGCUAGUGCUUGAAUAGAUUAGCAUGGAAUAAUAAAAUAGGACGGCAUGGUUCUAUUUUGUUGGUUUCUAGGAUCACCGUAAUGAUUAAUAGGGAUAGUUGGGGGCAUUAGUAUUCAAUUGUCAGAGGUGAAAUUCUUGGAUUUAUUGAAGACUAACUUCUGCGAAAGCAUUUGCCAAGGAUGUUUUCAUUAAUCAAGAACGAAAGUUAGGGGAUCGAAGACGAUCAGAUACCGUCGUAGUCUUAACCAUAAACUAUGCCGACUAGGAAUCGGACGAUGUUAAUUUUAUAAUGACUCGUU